This is a non-coding RNA of Aegilops tauschii subsp. strangulata, 1266 nucleotides long. Lineage: Eukaryota; Viridiplantae; Streptophyta; Magnoliopsida; Poales; Poaceae. The record is from RefSeq and is a predicted model, not a curated record.
GACGUCGCCGACGUUGCCACCGCACUGGUGGAAUGACAUGAUGGCCUGCAGCUUGAGCCCGGCCUCGUGCACCAGGUCGAAGACCUGCUUGUAGGCGCUCCAGUCGUACGCCUUGGGGCCCUUGCCCUCCACCAGCCCCCACCAGACGUCUAUCAUGACGCCGUCCACGCCGGCCUCCGUCAGCUUCUUCAGCUGCGCCCUGAUCUCGUCGCCCUUCUCGAAUUUGUUGUCGACGCUCACGACGUCCAGCUAUUCCCACAACGAAAGUGAAGGCAAGGGGAGGUCGAGGGGUCUAUUUAUACUGCGAAAGAGGGAUCGGAGGAGGCGCCCGGGGUCCUUCUCCAGCGAGGCGAGGUGAACUGGUUGAUUUUGGUUACCGCUCACAGCCCAGCUUCAGGGUUGAUAUCAUAUUUUCCUUGUCACUGGAAGAAGAUUGGGUAUCUGAAUGUUCUGAUUCGUUCACGUGUGUUUAGAGCGGCAAGCCAACAGUAUCAGGUUUAAAUACGUUAUCCGACAAAACGAAAAUAUAUUGACAGGGUCAUCCCUUGUUUUCCUUUCCAUCACGCUUAGAUGACUAGGACAAAGUUCUUCACCCCUCCAAGCUUCACCGUCCAGUCUGUGGAUUAAGCCAAAACUUGAAGCCACAUGCCCAUAAAUAUAUCCUUUUGUUUAUAAGCCAAGUGUAAAAGUAGAAAAAUAAACCCAACCAGACACCCCCUAAUAUGUGGUGAUUUGGGGGCCUGUGUGGUCGCCCACCUCACCCUCUCCAUCAACGGGCCUGUCCUCCGGUGACCAGUGGCGGGGAGGCGAAUUCUAGUGCCUCGGCUCCGACUAGUAGUUUAGGUUAGGGAUUUUUAGUCGUUGCAAAUGACAACUCUUCAUCAUUGAGUAGGUCUUUUGGGUUUUGAUCCUCGAUUUCGUUUGUCAUGACCGAGUCGAUGGAACUCUGGUUUAUAUUCCUACCGUCUCUUGGGACGAUGAGGUUAGGGUUUCUUAUCAUAGGUUCGGCACAGUAUCUGAUGUCAGACACUUCAAAUCGAUUCAACGUCAUGACUGGGGCUUUAGGGCGGUGAUUCUUAAGGGCACGCGCACGAAGACUUUUCAGUUGUCAUCAACAAGGUUAGGAUGACUCUGGUGUAGGAGAGGCUCGUUCCGGCAAUGGUAGUGGUCGUUCGGUGGUCUGAGGACCUCAAUGUAUUUUUUUUAUUAUGUUUGGGGUGCUUUGUACUUUUGGUGAACUUUAUAAUAUAACCGUGUCCUUUUGAA